AUGGAGCAGCACGUGCUGGUGGCGCUCGCCCUCUCCUUCGUCGGCGGCCUCAGCACCUCCCUCGGUGCGCUGCUUGUGAUCGUCAACCCUUCCCCUGACCUUAAGAGGCUCGGCCUCCUCCAGGGUUUUGCUGCUGGACUUAUGUUGAGCAUCUCGUUUCUAGACUUGGCACACAACGCACUCAACUCCAUUGGCUUCUUGAAGGCCAAUCUAUGGUUUUUUGCAGGAGUUCUUUUCUUUGGGUUCGUUGUCAAGUUUAUUCCAGAGCCAACCUUUGUGCCAACAACUGAUGCAAGCAAGAAAAAGACUGAUGAUGACGGGUCGGGCAAAGAUAUGAUGAAAAAACAUCGCCGGCAAGUCUUAUUCAGUGGCAUCAUUACUGCUGUUGGAAUUAGCUUGCACAAUUUUCCUGAGGGAAUGGCGGUAUUUCUUGGAUCCGUGAAGGGUCUUCGCGUGGGAGUUAACUUGGCUUUCGCUAUUGCUUUACAUAACAUACCUGAGGGGGUUGCUGUAGCUCUGCCACUCUAUUUUGCUACCAAAAGCAAAUGGCAAGCAUUUAAAUAUGCAACACUCUCUGGUUUGGCUGAGCCACUAGGAGUAUUUUUUGUAGCUGUCUUGUUUCCGAGCAACUUAAAUCCUGAAAUUCUUGAAGGCCUACUUGCAUCAGUUGGUGGUGUUAUGGCUUUCCUCACUUUGCAUGAGUUGUUACCUCUAGCAUUUGACUAUGCUGGCCAGAAGCAAGCUGUCAAAGCAGUCUUUGUUGGCAUGGCCGUCAUGUCUGCGAGCUUGUAUUUCCUGGAGAUCAGCCUACCGAAGGAGAUCAGCUUGUAA
Molecule: ribosomal RNA, 831 nt
Filed under: Triticum aestivum (bread wheat)
Lineage: Eukaryota; Viridiplantae; Streptophyta; Magnoliopsida; Poales; Poaceae
Description: partial small subunit ribosomal RNA
Source: RNAcentral